UACGGAGGGUGCAGGCGUUAAUCGGAAUUACUGGGCGUAAAGCGCACGCAGGCGGUUUGUUAAGUCAGAUGUGAAAUCCCCGGGCUCAACCUGGGAACUGCAUCUGAUACUGGCAAGCUUGAGUCUCGUAGAGGGGGGUAGAAUUCCAGGUGUAGCGGUGAAAUGCGUAGAGAUCUGGAGGAAUACCGGUGGCGAAGGCGGCCCCCUGGACGAAGACUGACGCUCAGGUGCGAAAGCGUGGGGAGCAAACAGGAUUAGAUACCCUGGUAGUCCACGCCGUAAACGAUGUCGACUUGGAGGUUGUGCCCUUGAGGCGUGGCUUCCGGAGCUAACGCGUUAAGUCGACCGCCUGGGGAGUACGGCCGCAAGGUUAAAACUC
Molecule: ribosomal RNA, 379 nt
Filed under: uncultured Escherichia sp.
Lineage: Bacteria; Pseudomonadati; Pseudomonadota; Gammaproteobacteria; Enterobacterales; Enterobacteriaceae
Description: bacterial SSU rRNA
Rfam family: Bacterial small subunit ribosomal RNA
Source: RNAcentral